CGCACGAGAAGGGAGCAAUCCUGAGUAAAGUGGCGUACGGGUGAGUAACACGUGGAUCAUCUACCUUUUAGUGGGGAAUACCUCCGGGAAACUGGAGACAAUACCGCAUAAGCUCGUAAGAGGAAAGCCGAAAGGCGCUGAAAGAGGAGUCCGCGGCUGAUUAGCUAGAUGGCGGGGUAACGGCCCACCAUGGCGAAGAUCGGUAGCCGGCCUGAGAGGGCACACGGCCACACUGGCACUGAAACACGGGCCAGACUCCUACGGGAGGCAGCAGUGGGGAAUCUUGCACAAUGGGGGAAACCCUGAUGCAGCGACGCCGCGUGAGCGAUGAAGCCCUUCGGGGUGUAAAGCUCUUUCGACGGGAACGAUAAUGACGGUACCCGAAGAAGAAGCUGCGGCUAACUACGUGCCAGCAGCCGCGGUAAUACGUAGGCAGCAAGCGUUGUUCGGAAUUACUGGGCGUAAAGAGUGUGUAGGCGGUGUUCUAAGUCUGUUGUGAAAUCUCCCGGCUCAACUGGGAGGGUGCGGCGGAGACUGGAAUGCUAGAGUAUGGGAGAGGUAAGCGGAAUUCCUGGUGUAGCGGUGAAAUGCGUAGAUAUCAGGAGGAACACCUGUGGUGUAGACAGCUUACUGGACCAUGACUGACGCUGAGACACGAAAGCGUGGGUAGCAAACAGGAUUAGAUACCCUGGUAGUCCACGCCCUAAACGAUGCAUACUUGGUGUGAGCCAUUCAUUUGGUUCGUGC
This 747-nucleotide ribosomal RNA is filed under the name uncultured bacterium. Its description in RNAcentral is "bacterial SSU rRNA". It matches the Rfam family "Bacterial small subunit ribosomal RNA", at positions 63 to 846 of the family's 1533-position model. The record is from RNAcentral.